This is a long non-coding RNA of Polypterus senegalus (gray bichir), 415 nucleotides long. RefSeq lists it as uncharacterized. The transcript is spliced from 3 exons. The record is from RefSeq and is a predicted model, not a curated record. NCBI's taxonomy places the organism in Eukaryota, Metazoa, Chordata, Cladistia, Polypteriformes, Polypteridae.
CGGUCCCACCAGCUCAAACGCCCUUCCCAGGCUAUGCCAUCGCCAUCAUUGUGCUCUGUAGCUUGCUCAUCAUCCUGAUCCUAGUGGUCCUUGUGGUGGCCCUGAAGACCCACCUGUUCAAGAAGUUGGCACGCGCCUGCUCCCUCAAGUCACCUGACUCCUUUGACCUCAGCGCUCAUCUUUAUGACGCCUUCGAGUAGCCGACAAGCUUGUGAAUCUGCACUGAUGUCCUCCGACCUGCCAGGAGCUCCGCUUAUCAUGAAGUAUUGUGGGCAAAUAUGGAGUUGAGGAGCACCCUGGCUGCCACCUACACGUCUAAGGGACUUUGAUGGACAGAUGGACAAAGGUGACCACUUUUGUCCACUCACUGCCUUCUUCCUUGAAAUUUAGGAGAACUGCACAGCUCAGGAAACGU